GACGAACCGUGCAAACGUUGUUCGGAAUCACUGGGCAUAAAGGGCGCGUAGGCGGUCGGUCAAGUCUGGGGUGAAAUCUUUCGGCUCAACCGGAAACGUGCCCCGGAUACGGGCAGACUGGAGGUAUGCAGGGGAGAACGGAAUUCCUGGUGUAGCGGUGAAAUGCGCAGAUAUCAGGAGGAACACCGGUGGCGAAGGCGGUUCUCUGGGCCGUAACUGGACGCUGGAGGAGCGAAAGCAUGGGAGCGA
Molecule: ribosomal RNA, 249 nt
Filed under: uncultured bacterium
Lineage: Bacteria
Description: partial 16S ribosomal RNA
Rfam family: Bacterial small subunit ribosomal RNA
Source: RNAcentral